UCUAUCUCGUUCGCCCCUUUCCCUCGUCCCUCUCCGCAACGAGCUGAAACGAGAAAACCGGUCUCCGCGAAAGGGGCUAAUUUCCGACCGCGAAUCGACUUCCUGUUAGAAUUCUGGCAUCGAAAUCGCGCGAACCACCGACGACGAACCAACGGCCCUCGGCUCCACUCGCUAUCGUUCAUGGAAGAAACAAAAGAAACGGGAGAACCGAGUCGAAAACCACCGAGACCUUUCACCGCGGAGGACACCCUCCUACGGCUCGUACUUGUGUACGACCGCAGUUGCGCGAACUACUCACACACCCCCUCUCCUACGUGUUUGUCCAUUCGGGACCACCACCCGACCUGCACGAAUUCCGCUCUCUUCCCGUGCAUGUGCCAGGCCCAAGGUGGGGAGGCAGAUACGCGUCCUGAAAGGACGUCUGUCGCUCGCGGCCACUUCCACUCUCCUGAUUUUACAGGAACGUGCGCCAGCUUCCGGGUCCUAUUUGUAGGCGUACGACGAUUCUUUGAGUUUAGGUUUCAUCGAGUUGAUCGCUGAGAAACGAUCCAUUCAUGCGGUCUUAAUAAAUAAUGGGAUGCGGUGUAUGUUCGAACCAAUAAGGAUCACAGGUCGCACUUACGUCAUGGAAAACCUGGUAUUGAUCGCACCCUAGGCCAAUGGGGUUCACCGCCGCAACGGUGUUACUCUUACUGUUCUGGCGGUGAAUUCGAAUGCGUCACCGCCAACACUCUAAGCCGGGAAAGUAUGAAUUUUCUCGUCGAACAUUGAUGUCGCGAAAUCGCACAUCAUUGGCGAUAAUUAUCUUGAAAGUUGUUGAAUGAUGGUCUUGUGCAAUGUACAUUGUAUGUAGAUGUGUUUCAGAGUCUAAUGCGAUGAAUUUCCCAAUUAAUCGAUAAUAAUAAAAUCGUAAUUUACGAAUAAAAUCAUAAGUAGAAUGAGAAAUUUGUUGCUGCGCUUGGACGACGAACGUCUGACAUAGACGGUAUUAAUACUACUGGCGCGCGGCUGACUAGCGAUGACAAUCACAUCUUAAAUGUCGAUCAAUCAAGAGCAAUAUUAAAAUCAGCUGCCAACAGCCAUCAACCUAAAGUAGUAGACUCUGCUGAUCUGCUUUUAUGGUAUGCAAUACACGCAUGAUUAAUGAUGUAUGGAGGGUAGCCAAAGAUACUGAAUCGUAUCUUUCUUUCGCGAGAAUCAAAUAAAAAGUAAUAUUAUACGGAUCGUAAAUCAGGUUCCAAUGUACAAUCAUAAAUAAUAUAUAUUUUUAUUUUCUUGCACGUGCAUCUGAACUCAAUUCAGGUCAAAUUUUACAAUCAAUCGUGUAAGAUUAGACAAAAUCAUUUUUACAUAUAUCAUGUUUCAUAAUGAUUGCAAUGCGUUACAUAAAAUUGAAUAAUGUGCGGUACACGUACUUAUAAAUAAUUUGUUAAGAGUAUUAUGUGAAAUUAAUAGAUCAAGAGAAGCUAAUUUAAAUUCUUACAAAUUUGGCACAUUUAGGUGGAAAAUAACAUAUAACAAUUGAAGCAUUAUCAAAGAGCAAUGUAAGAAUAAAUGGCAAGCGAAAUUAGAAA
Molecule: long non-coding RNA, 1574 nt
Organism: Bombus impatiens (common eastern bumble bee)
Lineage: Eukaryota; Metazoa; Arthropoda; Insecta; Hymenoptera; Apidae
Exons: 2
Source: RefSeq, a predicted model, not a curated record